CUUUUAAGACAGGUUCUCAUUAAGUUGCCCAGGUUGGCCUUGCAAUUCUUCUGCCUCCCUGAUUGCUGGAUCACAGGAUGCACUAAUAUACCUAGAUAUGGUCUAUUUGAUGCCAGACUUCCAGCCUUGACUGCACAUAGAAACAAAUGGACAACUUGAAAAGCAUGUAUACCAUUACCUCAUCCACCAUCAACUGAAUAUGAAUCUCUUCAGGCCCGACUGAGGCUUUACUGAGUAUGAAACAUUCCCAAGUGGUUCUAAAGUGCAAUCAAGUUUGAGAAUCACAGGCAUAAUGAAAUCAAACUCCUGGAGCUCAGAGCCUGAAUGUCAAUUCUGUUUGGACAAAUUUUCUUUAUCUAAUUUUCUGAAUUUGUAAAAUAAGAAAUAUAUAAGUAGAGGUAGUUUCCAUCUUAAAGGACUAACAAAUCAAUUCAUCUAAAAUCCUUAUAGCACUUUAAUUUGGGACUGUGAUCUGUGGUUUUUGCAUAUACCAGAAUGGGUAAGUAGCACAAGUCUAUUACAGUGAAGUCCAAAAUCUGGUACCUAAGUUAGAAUUACAGAAUUCCAAAAGUCUGUUUCUAUCCAGAAUGUUGCAUUUAAAAUGCUACAUCCAGAUGUAGCAUCAUGGUCAGAAGCAGCAUUAUUUCAAGAACUAUUUCAGAUAUGAUAAUAUGACAACAUAUGUCUAUAAACACCUAUUUGUCAGGCAUGAAUACUGUACUCUGUGAAAAGCUAAGGAAUAUACUAAGAAACAUUCAAACAUGAGUAUUGGUUCUAUCAUUUAUUAAAUAUGUGACCUUGAACAAGUUACUUUAUCCAUCUCCAGCCAGUUUCUCUGCCUGCCAAUGGGGAUGAUACCUGUAAU
RNAcentral lists this long non-coding RNA (865 nucleotides) under Marmota monax (woodchuck). Lineage: Eukaryota; Metazoa; Chordata; Mammalia; Rodentia; Sciuridae. The record is from RNAcentral.